GCUAUAAUUCGGAGUUUAGUGAAAAAACUGUAAAAUUAUAGCAAUAUAAACAUAGAAACACAGAAUGUGACGGCUGAGAAGAACCAUUCAGCCCAUCUGGUCUGCCCAAUUUUCUAAAGGAAGGUACAUAUAUGAAUAGAUAUAUACAUUUUUAUAGCGUACAGUUUUCUUUUUAAUACAUGUAUUAAAGAUGAUAUUAGAAAAAGCUUAGUAUGUCACUGGGGUUGACAUAGAAGCUUAUUUGUAUGCAGGGUAUAACAUUCUCUGUAGAACAGAUUUAUGCAACGUCAUAUACAAACAGCAGUGUUCUAUGUGCUAUGCAUUGUGUACCCUGAGAUAUCCAUCUCAGAAACAUUAAUGAUCCCCCUUUAUGGUAAAAUAAAUUUUGUGCUACAACAUUUGUCAUAAGUGGUUUUUAAAUGUUUUAGUCCUGGGGUUCCAACAUUAGAGGGCAUAGUGGAC
Non-coding RNA from Pelobates cultripes (western spadefoot toad), 462 nucleotides. NCBI's taxonomy places the organism in Eukaryota, Metazoa, Chordata, Amphibia, Anura, Pelobatidae. The record is from the annotation of a GenBank genome assembly.